AUUUUGUUUAUAUUUUUUACUAUGCAUUUUAGAAGAAGAAUAUGCCUCAAAAUAACACUCAGAUUCAAGUAGACUUUUACUAUUGUACUUAACUACUUAUACAGUAAUAAAGAACUAGCUAAAACUCAUUAAGGCAUUAUUCGGGGUUUACAGAAAGCCUUCUCCAAGUCAAUGAAAACCAUAUGUAAUUCCUUCUGCUCUCUAUACCGCUCCAUCACCUGUCUUAUUGAGAAAGCUUCCAUGGUUGACCUUAUGGGCAUGAAACCAAAUUGGUUUAUACUUCAUAGAGAUUCUCGUUAUUCCUCUCGGACGAUGCUCGAUUAUCUCCCAUAGCUUCAUAGUGAAAGGAUCAAGUUGCCCAAGAGGAGGGUGAAUUGGGCCAAUCUAAAAUUUCUUGUGACAAUUAAAUCCUAUUGGAUGGUCCACCCUGCCCCUUGUGCCUAAGAGUGUUGUCUAUUUUACACAAGUUUUACACCCUAGGUUUCAAUCCUAUUGUAGCAUGACAUUCUAGUAAUGUAAAGGCAAGUGUUGAAUUGACCAAAUGUAAAUGCCCAAAGUAAAAUAAGGGUUAGAAAUAUGGAGAUGUUUUGUUGAGGUAUCGAAGAGUUGGCAUUCUCCGCUAGUUCUCGUUGGAGCACCCGCAUAAGGGUGCUGCUCUCCUUGAUCCACAUAAGGACAAAAUGUUGUCUACGGUUUGAUUCUUUAUCACUCUGGCACGGUGAAUCACCCAUAACCAUUUACAUAUUGAGUUGAUCCAUCCACAAUCUCCAUCAGGCGAUCACCAAACUCCUGAUUAUCAGUAAGUUGUCUAUAUGAUGCUGAUCACCAAGAUUAAUAAGCACAAACUCUCACUUGACCUAACCAAGGCUAAUGAGAACGGUGGAUGCACAUUUGCUUCUCUCAACUCGAUACACUAAUAAAGCACUAAUCUCAU
RNAcentral lists this long non-coding RNA (934 nucleotides) under Zea mays. RNAcentral describes it as "drought responsive lncRNA". Lineage: Eukaryota; Viridiplantae; Streptophyta; Magnoliopsida; Poales; Poaceae. The record is from RNAcentral.